GGAAAGGAAGCUUAUAGCGUUACAUUGUAAGUGUAAAGAUGAUUUAUUCCCAUUCCA
RNAcentral lists this transfer RNA (57 nucleotides) under Fulicoffula longipila. RNAcentral's name for it is "tRNA-Tyr". The record is from RNAcentral. Lineage: Eukaryota; Metazoa; Arthropoda; Insecta; Psocodea; Philopteridae.